UCGCCCGCCGCGCGCGGCGGGCGGGGCGGGGGCACGGGGGACUCCUUCGGGAGGCAGCAGUGGGGAAUAUUGGACAAUGGGCGCAAGCCUGAUCCAGCAAUGCCGCGUGUGUGAAGAAGGCCUUCGGGUUGUAAAGCACUUUUAUCAGGAGCGAAAUGCCAUGGGCUAAUACCCCGUGGAGCUGACGGUACCUGAGGAAUAAGCACCGGCUAACUUCGUGCCAGCAGCCGCGGUAAU
RNAcentral lists this ribosomal RNA (237 nucleotides) under Frateuria sp. enrichment culture clone 'DGGE gel band B3'. Its description in RNAcentral is "partial 16S ribosomal RNA". It matches the Rfam family "Bacterial small subunit ribosomal RNA", at positions 284 to 524 of the family's 1533-position model. Lineage: Bacteria; Pseudomonadati; Pseudomonadota; Gammaproteobacteria; Lysobacterales; Rhodanobacteraceae. The record is from RNAcentral.